UAUUUAAGGAUGUACUUAGAUGAUCUAAGGUAAAAUUAAGUAAAUCAAGAAUUCAAAAUUGAUACUUUAACAAUGUUUAAGCUGGAAGAGUAUAAGUUAAGGAUCAAAAUAAGCUAAAAAUAUUGAUAGGUCAUGGAGCUCCUUUUUGAGAUAUUUGAUUUAUAAAAUAUGGCGGGAAGAGGCUGACUUGGACUUUAACCUUUUAUUUGCAUUGGUAUUAUUUGGGUCUCAAAUCAAAAGAAAGAAAAUCAAGAAUCUGCUUAAGUUUUGUUAAAUGACCUUUUAUGAGCUAUUAAGUUUU
This 301-nucleotide long non-coding RNA is filed under the name Mytilus galloprovincialis (Mediterranean mussel). The record is from RNAcentral. Lineage: Eukaryota; Metazoa; Mollusca; Bivalvia; Mytilida; Mytilidae.